RNAcentral lists this transfer RNA (116 nucleotides) under Antrostomus carolinensis (chuck-will's-widow). RNAcentral's name for it is "Caprimulgus carolinensis (chuck-will's-widow) tRNA". It matches the Rfam family "tRNA". Rfam says of the family: Transfer RNA (tRNA) molecules are approximately 80 nucleotides in length. Their secondary structure includes four short double-helical elements and three loops (D, anti-codon, and T loops). The record is from Rfam by way of RNAcentral. Lineage: Eukaryota; Metazoa; Chordata; Aves; Caprimulgiformes; Caprimulgidae.
GUCAGGAUGGCCGAGUGGUCUAAGGUGCCAGACUCAAGGUUCUUUCCUUUCCUUUCCUUCACCUGGGGAUUUCUGGUCUCCGAAUGGAGGUGUGGGUUCAGAUCCCACUUCUGACA